CCUACGGGGGACAGCAGUGAGGAAUAUUGGUCAAUGGACGAGAGUCUGAACCAGCCAAGUAGCGUGAAGGAUGACUGCCCUAUGGGUUGUAAACUUCUUUUAUAUGGGAAUAAAACAGGGUAUGCAUACCCUCUUGUAUGUACCAUAUGAAUACGGAUCGGCUAACUCCGUGCCAGCAGCCGCGGUAAUACGGAGGAUCCGAGCGUUAUCCGGAUUUAGUGGGUUUAAAGGGAGCGUAGGUGGAUUGUUAAGUCAGGUGUGAAAGUUUUCGGCUCAACCGUAAAAUUGCAGUUGAAACUGGAAGUCUUGAGUACAGUAGAGGUGGGCGGAAUUCGUGGUGUAGCGGUGAAAUGCUUAGAUAUCACGAAGAACUCCGAUUGCGAAGGCAGCUCACUGGACUGCAACUGACACUGAUGCUCGAAAGUGUGGGUAUCAAACAGGAUUAGAUACCCGUGUAGUC
RNAcentral lists this ribosomal RNA (460 nucleotides) under uncultured bacterium. RNAcentral describes it as "partial 16S ribosomal RNA". It matches the Rfam family "Bacterial small subunit ribosomal RNA", at positions 338 to 795 of the family's 1533-position model. The record is from RNAcentral.